Molecule: ribosomal RNA, 447 nt
Filed under: uncultured bacterium
Lineage: Bacteria
Description: bacterial SSU rRNA
Rfam family: Bacterial small subunit ribosomal RNA
Source: RNAcentral
GCCAGACUCCUACGGGAGGCAGCAGUGGGGAAUAUUGGGCAAUGGGCGCAAGCCUGACCCAGCAAUGCCGCGUGAAGGAAGAAGGCUUUCGGGUUGUAAACUUCUUUGACAGGGGAAGAGCAGAAGACGGUACCCUGAAAACAAGCCACGGCUAACUACGUGCCAGCAGCCGCGGUAAUACGUAGGUGGCAAGCGUUGUCCGGAUUUACUGGGUGUAAAGGGCGUGUAGCCGGGAAGGCAAGUCAGAUGUGAAAUCCGGAGGCUCAACCUCCGAAUUGCAUUUGAAACUGUUGGUCUUGAGUAUCGGAGAGGCAGGCGGAAUUCCUAGUGUAGCGGUGAAAUGCGUAGAUAUUAGGAGGAACACCAGUGGCGAAGGCGGCCUGCUGGACGACAACUGACGGUGAGGCGCGAAAGCGUGGGGAGCAAACAGGAUUAGAUACCCCAGUA